This 492-nucleotide ribosomal RNA is filed under the name uncultured bacterium. RNAcentral's name for it is "partial 16S ribosomal RNA". It matches the Rfam family "Bacterial small subunit ribosomal RNA", at positions 29 to 507 of the family's 1533-position model. The record is from RNAcentral.
AGUGAACGCUGGCGGUAGGCCUAACACAUGCAAGUCGAACGGCAGCACAGUAAGAGCUUGCUCUUACGGGUGGCGAGUGGCGGACGGGUGAGGAAUACAUCGGAAUCUACUUUUUCGUGGGGGAUAACGUAGGGAAACUUACGCUAAUACCGCAUACGGCCUACGGGUGAAAGCAGGGGAUCUUCGGAUCUUGCGCGAUUGAAUGAGCCGAUGUCGGAUUAGCUAGUUGGCGGGGUAAAGGCCCACCAAGGCGACGAUCCGUAGCUGGUCUGAGAGGAUGAUCAGCCACACUGGAACUGAGACACGGUCCAGACUACUACGGGAGGCAGCAGUGGGGAAUAUUGGACAAUGGGCGCAAGCCUGAUCCAGCCAUACCGCGUGGGUGAAGAAGGCCUUCGGGUUGUAAAGCCCUUUUGUUGGGAAAGAAAAGCAGCAGGUUAAUACCCCGCUGUUCUGACGGUACCCAAAGAAUAAGCACCGGCUAACUUCGUG